UACGUAGGGGGCAAGCGUUGUCCGGAUUUAUUGGGCGUAAAGAGCGUGUAGGCGGUUUGGUAGGUCCGCUGUGAAAACUCGAGGCCCAACCUCGAGACGCCGGUGGGAACCAUCAGACUAGAGUCCGGAAGAGGAGAGUGGAAUUCCUGGUGUAGCGGUGAAAUGCGUAGAUAUCAGGAGGAACGCCGGAGGCGAAAGCGAGUGACUGGCGCGUUCCUGACGCUGAGGUGCGAAAGCUAGGGGAGCAAACAGG
Molecule: ribosomal RNA, 253 nt
Filed under: uncultured bacterium
Lineage: Bacteria
Description: partial 16S ribosomal RNA
Rfam family: Bacterial small subunit ribosomal RNA
Source: RNAcentral